This 203-nucleotide long non-coding RNA is filed under the name Lathyrus oleraceus (garden pea). RNAcentral describes it as "Pisum sativum (pea) long non-coding RNA (PSAT_LNC001785)". The record is from RNAcentral. Lineage: Eukaryota; Viridiplantae; Streptophyta; Magnoliopsida; Fabales; Fabaceae.
ACACUUACAGACAACUGGAGAAGAAAAAAACUUCAAGUGUGAGCCUAGAAAAAAAUCUGUUCUUGAAAUAGGACGGUCAAUUUAGGGUUUGUGGGGAAAAGCGAAAAAACGGGAGAGAGAAGUGUGAGAAAUAAAAAAGUGUGAAAAAAGAGAAGAGAGAAUUUGAAAUUGGAAUGGAGAUUGUGUGAUAAUUAAAGUGUGAC